GACGAACGCUGGCGGCGUGCCUAAUACAUGCAAGUCGAGCGAAUUUACGAGAGCUUGCUCUCGUAAAUUAGCGGCGGACGGGUGAGUAACACGUGGGCAACCUGCCUAUAAGACUGGGAUAACUUCGGGAAACCGGAGCUAAUACCGGAUAAUUCACAUCUACUCAUGUAGAUGUGCUGAAAGACGGUUUCGGCUGUCACUUAUAGAUGGGCCCGCGGCGCAUUAGCUAGUUGGUGAGGUAACGGCUCACCAAGGCCACGACGCGUAGCCGACCUGAGAGAGUGAUAGGCCAAACUGGGACUGAGACACGGCCCAGACUCCUACGGGAGGCAGCAGUAGGGAAUCUUCCGCAAUGGACGAAAGUCUGACGGAGCAACGCCGCGUGAGUGAUGAAGGUUUUCGGAUCGUAAAACUCUGUUGUUAGGGAAGAACAAGUACCAGAGUAACUGCUGGUACCUUGACGGUACCUAACCAGAAAGUCACGGCUAACUACGUGCCAGCCGCCGCAGUAA
Molecule: ribosomal RNA, 512 nt
Filed under: uncultured bacterium
Lineage: Bacteria
Description: partial 16S ribosomal RNA
Rfam family: Bacterial small subunit ribosomal RNA
Source: RNAcentral